This 56-nucleotide transfer RNA is filed under the name Bordetella trematum. Its description in RNAcentral is "tRNA-Ser". It matches the Rfam family "tRNA", at positions 20 to 71 of the family's 71-position model. From Rfam's summary of the family: Transfer RNA (tRNA) molecules are approximately 80 nucleotides in length. Their secondary structure includes four short double-helical elements and three loops (D, anti-codon, and T loops). Lineage: Bacteria; Pseudomonadati; Pseudomonadota; Betaproteobacteria; Burkholderiales; Alcaligenaceae. RNAcentral also lists the same sequence under 1 other name. The record is from RNAcentral.
AGAAUACCGGCCUGUCACGCCGGGGGUCGCGGGUUCGAGCCCCGUCCGCUCCGCCA